Molecule: ribosomal RNA, 369 nt
Filed under: Triticum aestivum (bread wheat)
Lineage: Eukaryota; Viridiplantae; Streptophyta; Magnoliopsida; Poales; Poaceae
Description: partial small subunit ribosomal RNA
Source: RNAcentral
AUGCUAGUGGAUCUGGUGGUGAUGCUGGUGCUGCUGCGACUUCCUGCUCUGUUUGAAGCGUAUGGUUCAAGCUCGGUCUUAAGACAUAUUGGGUCACAGUGCCUUCUUCCAAUCUUUGAAGAUAAGUUGGAAUUCAAGGUAGAAAAUAUUUUGUGGAAUGCCACUUCCUAUAGGUCGUCACAUAAGAUGCAGCAGCAAAAUCAAAACACAGAAGGCAGAAGAUGGCAAGAGAAUUUUCAAGAUAUCAAAAUCAAAAUCAAAACACCAAAUUGUCAGGUUGUCACAUAUUGUCAGGCCCUUUUUUUUGGUCUGGACAGAAGGCAAAAGAGGGCAAGAGAAUUUUUUCAGCCAGUUUGGUUGUUGGGCUGA